RNA transcript from Drosophila simulans, 738 nucleotides. RefSeq lists it as uncharacterized. The transcript has 2 exons. The record is from RefSeq and is a predicted model, not a curated record. NCBI's taxonomy places the organism in Eukaryota, Metazoa, Arthropoda, Insecta, Diptera, Drosophilidae.
UGUGAUAUGGAGCCAUAUGGAGGGAACAUUGUCUGAUUUUGACUUCAACUCGAAUGUCUGUCUAGUGUGUGUGGAAAACAAAUGAAAAGGAAAUCCAGCACUUUUUGCGUACCUACACAUAUAUAUUACAUUUUUUUUUUGUAAUGUUCCGCAUAACGAGCACGGACCAUGUCGAACCACGUGCAGCAUAAUCACCUGGCAGAGCGUAGCCAGGAAAUUGUAUGGAUCUGGGGGUCGCAGCUCCAGCGGCAAUUGGAUGAAGUUGCCGAUGCUGAUGAGGCUGCUCCUGCAGUUGCUAUUCCUGCAUGCAAUUAAGCCAGGGACGAGAGCGAGGCACAACUUGCCACUCUGUGUGUCCCAAAACUGCAAGCUGACCAUGCAAAUUACGUUGCCCACACUCAUACUUGCACACGCCCUGCUACACACACGCAUUCCUGUCGCCUCGUUUGGGGGCCUGCGGGGCUUCCCCGGCAUUUGAGUGAUGCACCAAGUCGAGGAAGCGGAGAAGGAGGCCAGCUAGCUGGAACCCCACUGCCGCUGCCACUACCACUACUACUACUAACUGCCACUGCCAAAGCUAAGUUAAAUGGACCUGCGGUGCACUCGAGCAGCCAGGACGCAAACUACAGUGGAUACCGCUUUAAGCAGACUGCCUAAGGCGUUGAAAAAUAUUCAUAAGUGAAGCAAUCAGUCGAUAUUUUGUGCAAAUAAAAUUAAGCCAUAAUUCUAUGGAAUUUA